GGUAGCGUGGCCGAGCGGUCUAAGGCGCUGGUUUUAGGCACCAGUCAUUUCGAUGGCUUGGGUUCGAAUCCCACCGCUGCCA
Ciona savignyi (Pacific transparent sea squirt) is the source of this 82-nucleotide non-coding RNA. NCBI's taxonomy places the organism in Eukaryota, Metazoa, Chordata, Ascidiacea, Phlebobranchia, Cionidae. The record is from Rfam.